UCUGCCCAAUGUGUCCCGUGGCCCGUGAAAUCAAGCGUGGGUGAGACCUGGUGCAGAACGGGAAGGCGACCCAUACUUGGUUUCAGAGGCUGCGAGAAUACCUAC
Molecule: microRNA precursor, 105 nt
Filed under: Dasypus novemcinctus (nine-banded armadillo)
Lineage: Eukaryota; Metazoa; Chordata; Mammalia; Cingulata; Dasypodidae
Description: miRNA (ENSDNOG00000029227.2)
Rfam family: mir-551 microRNA precursor family (bases 19-92)
Source: RNAcentral